GACUUGUUAGUCUAGGGGUAUGAUUCUCGCUUAGGUUGCGAGAGGUCUUGGGUUCAAAUCCUGCAUGAGUCC
This is a non-coding RNA of Danio rerio (zebrafish), 72 nucleotides long. NCBI's taxonomy places the organism in Eukaryota, Metazoa, Chordata, Actinopteri, Cypriniformes, Danionidae. The record is from Rfam.